UUCAAUGGCCGAAUCCUUGCACCCCCUUCAAAACCUGCAACACAAAGAGAAACCCGAAACACUAGUAACAACAAAGAUCUAAAAUGAUCUUUGUUGGUUAUAGAAAAGAAAACCCGAAAACACUACAGAAAAAUAAAGGAGAACACAACAAAGUUUGAUCUCGGAGUUCCCCUUGAAAUCAAGAGUACAUCUCCGUCAAGCUUCCCUCAAAGACGCUUGAUUCUUCACUAUGAUGUCAAAACCGGUUACAAGUUCAUGGAGAUUCCAUGCUACAAAACACAGCAGGUAAUCUCUUUCUCUUCACUUUAUUUCUCUUUGUUUUUCUUACAAUAUCUCUCACUAACUCUCUAUAUUUUUCUCUCUUGUUUCUGAGGUGGGUUACACAAAGAAAACAAAGGUUGCUGCCUUUUUUUUUUCUGCUUGGCCGAAAUGGUGUGUUGCUCAAAGUGGAAGGUGUUGUUGAAUCUUCUUGCUUCCCCGAGCUCUGAUACCACUGUAGGAAAUUUGCUGCAGUUCCCAACAGCCCCCCUACACCCAAACACCUAACGUUCAACUACUAGGGGUAGAUUCGUCAUUUUUGUUUGAUGCGGAUCCAAAAGAGCAUAUUCUCUUUUCAAAAUCUGAUACCCCUUUUUCUCUUUCUUUAGUCAAAACCCUACUGCCAUUAAUCAAGACCAUAUAUAAUCUUUCUUUUCUUUUUCCUUAGAAAAACCUAGCAUUAAAAUCAUCUCUUCAAAGCACACACAACCAGCCGGCCCUAUUCUUCUCCUCUCCUUCUUCUAUUUUCUUUGAACAGCAAGAACACAACCUAGCCAAGCCUCUUCUUCUUCCUUCUUCUCUCUUGCUGAAAAACGCAGCAAGCUUCUCCCUUGCUGAAAAACGCAGCAAGCUUCUCCCUUGCUGAAAAAACGCAGCAAGCUUUCGUUCUCCUUCCUUCCUUCUUCAAGCUACAGCAGUAGCUUCAAUGGCCGAAUCCUUGCACCCCCUUCAAAACCUGCAACACAAAGAGAAACCCGAAACACUAGUAACAACAAAGAUCUAAAAUGAUCUUUGUUGGUUAUAGAAAAGAAAACCCGAAAACACUACAGAAAAAUAAAGGAGAACACAACAAAGUUUGAUCUCGGAGUUCCCCUUGAAAUCAAGAGUACAUCUCCGUCAAGCUUCCCUCAAAGACGCUUGAUUCUUCACUAUGAUGUCAAAAACGUUAACAAGUUCAUGGAGAUUCCAUGCUACAAAACACAGCAGGUGGGUUACACAAAGAAAACAAAGGUUGCUGCCUUUUUUUUUCUGCUUGGCCGAAAUGGUGUGUUGCUCAAAGUGGAAGGUUGAACCACUUAUUUAUAAUGUUGUUGUUGUUGUUGUGUUUGUUUCUGAUCUGAGAAAGUUUGUUGUAAUCUGUUUGAGAUAUUUUCCUUGUAAAGCUGAAAGUUGUUAGAGUCUUGAGAUAUUUAUUUGCUUCCUUUUAUUGUUAAGAAAUAAAAGACCUAAGCCUAGGAAAACAGAACCGACAACUCUAUGAGUUAUAAUGGUCUGUUGAGGCUUUAUAAAGAGGUCUAUUUUAUUUUCCUUGUAACUUUAUUUAUGGGACAAUAGUAUGGGAAUUUAUCCAACAU
Long non-coding RNA from Cannabis sativa, 1613 nucleotides. RefSeq lists it as uncharacterized. The transcript has 3 exons. The record is from RefSeq and is a predicted model, not a curated record. NCBI's taxonomy places the organism in Eukaryota, Viridiplantae, Streptophyta, Magnoliopsida, Rosales, Cannabaceae.